GAGAUUAACCACAGGUGCCAAAGCUA
RNAcentral lists this non-coding RNA (26 nucleotides) under Mus musculus (house mouse). The record is from RNAcentral. Lineage: Eukaryota; Metazoa; Chordata; Mammalia; Rodentia; Muridae.